Molecule: ribosomal RNA, 253 nt
Filed under: uncultured bacterium
Lineage: Bacteria
Description: partial 16S ribosomal RNA
Rfam family: Bacterial small subunit ribosomal RNA
Source: RNAcentral
UACGAAGGGGGCUAGCGUUGUUCGGAUUUACUGGGCGUAAAGGGCGCGCAGGCGGCCGCAUUUGUCAGGCGUGAAAGCCCCGGGCUUAACCUGGGAACUGCGUUUGAUACGGUGUGGCUAGAGUUCGGGAGAGGAGAGUGGAAUUCCCAGUGUAGAGGUGAAAUUCGUAGAUAUUGGGAAGAACACCGGUGGCGAAGGCGGGUCUCUGGGCCGAUACUGACGCUGAGGAGCGAAAGCGUGGGGAGCAAACAGG